Long non-coding RNA from Pelmatolapia mariae (spotted tilapia), 744 nucleotides. RefSeq lists it as uncharacterized. The record is from RefSeq and is a predicted model, not a curated record. Lineage: Eukaryota; Metazoa; Chordata; Actinopteri; Cichliformes; Cichlidae. The transcript is spliced from 3 exons.
ACACAAUAAGACUGACACUGUUUGUAAAAGAAGGGUAGAUCACCAUAGUGACAGAUCAGCCAAACCCUAUGGCAAAAACACGGAAUGAGUCAAGUGUCAGAUGCUCAGGUUACAUGGGCAUGAUCUCAGUCCAGAAUUCUUAGAACCUAAUAAAUGUAUUUCUUUCUUUGUUCAUUAUUCUGUUAAAUAAUCUAAAAACUAGAUCUGAUAUUAAAAACAACUGAUUAAAUGAAACUUUCCUAAACUGUGAAUUUAGGUUGAAUAUUGGCUCUUCAUGUAGCUACAACCCCAGCCAGUAAGACUUCUCCUAAAACUUUGUUAGUCAUCUUCGCUAUUGCUCUACAUUAAUAAGUCUCGUUGCUCAUAUGGAGUUACUCAUGCAUGCAGUGCUGCCUUUCAAAUUAAGAGGCCUCUCCCUGAAAGACAGCCCAUGUCAGGGAUCAGCACAUCUGCAGAAAGACGAUCCGGUAAAGCCUCACAAUUCCUGGGGGAGAAUAGCAAAGUCAUGGAGAUCCAGGUGCUGCGCACCGAGCCACACCAGCGGCUGGCGUGCGUAAUGAACGGCAAUUAAAAGUGGCACAUGUGCACCAAACUGACGUUCAAACAAAGCCAAAGAGGCGUGAAGAUAAUAUAGAAAAGGACAAUUCUCUGAAGAUGUGGUUUUUUGGGAAAAUCCCAAUACACUAUCUAUCUCUCUGUCAGUCCUCUUUAUAUUGGAAAUCCACCGAGGAGCUUUAUCAUGAG